GAUGAACGCUGGCGGCGUGCCUAAUACAUGCAAGUCGAGCGAACGGACGAGAAGCUUGCUUCUCUGAUGUUAGCGGCGGACGGGUGAGUAACACGUGGAUAACCUACCUAUAAGACUGGGAUAACUUCGGGAAACCGGAGCUAAUACCGGAUAAUAUUUUGAACCGCAUGGUUGAAAAGUGAAAGACGGUCUUGCUGUCACUUAUAGAUGGAUCCGCGCUGCAUUAGCUAGUUGGUAAGGUAACGGCUUACCAAGGCAACGAUGCAUAGCCGACCUGAGAGGGUGAUCGGCCACACUGGAACUGGGACACGGACCAGACGCCUACGGGAGGCAGCAGUAGGGAAUCUUACGCAAUGGGCGAAAGCCUGACGGAGCAACGCCGCGUGAGUGAUGAAGGUCUUCGGAUCGUAAAACUCUGUUAUUAGGGAAGAACAUAUGUGUAAGUAACUGUGCACAUCUUGACGGUACCUAAUCAGAAAGCCACGGCUAACUACGUG
This 497-nucleotide ribosomal RNA is filed under the name uncultured bacterium. RNAcentral describes it as "partial 16S ribosomal RNA". It matches the Rfam family "Bacterial small subunit ribosomal RNA", at positions 28 to 507 of the family's 1533-position model. The record is from RNAcentral.